GAUCUCACAGAGCAGAUCAGCGCGGGUGUCCAGCGCCCCGAUGUGGGCAGUCGGGGCUAGCCGCUGGGGCAGGCUGCCCCCAGCAAGAGGAGCGGCCGCUCCAAACCACAAAAUCUCCAACGCCGGACAGCGCGGCCUCGGUCACCAUACGCUACAGGCAUCCUGCAGGCCAUCGCGUGUGGUGGAGCGUCCGGCGCUUAUCGUGGUCAGUCCCCCUCUACGCCACCGUCCGAUUCCCCCGACGCCCCCGCCGACCCCGGAGCUUGCCCUCAGCCCCUUCAUCUGCCGAGGCAUACCCUUGCUGCCCAUCCCACCCAGGGAUCGCCACCUCUGCCCUCUACCAGGCUCCGGGCCCGGUGCCGAGGACUGGCCGCCAAGGGUUGCGGACUAUGGCCCUAAAGCUCAUCCACAAGGAGUUCCUCGAACUGGCCCGCGACCCCCAGCCCCACUGCUCAGCAGGGCCAGUGUGGGACGAUAUGCUCCACUGGCAGGCCACCAUAACGAGGCCCAACGACAGCUCCUACCUGGGAGGGGUCUUCUUCCUAAAGUUUCCCUCCGACUACCUAUUCAAACCACCCAAGAUCAAAUUUACCAACGGAAUUUACCAUCAACGUUAACGGAAAUACGCGACAGGAGGGAGUAUGGCAGAAUAGCUAAAGACUGGACUCAGUAGUGUACCAUGUAAUUUCAAAAUAUAAUUCCAUCGCCUUAAUAAUAAAGAUGCAGAAAGUGGCAGUUCA
Molecule: RNA transcript, 740 nt
Organism: Homo sapiens (human)
Lineage: Eukaryota; Metazoa; Chordata; Mammalia; Primates; Hominidae
Gene: UBE2DNL
Gene name: ubiquitin conjugating enzyme E2 D N-terminal like (pseudogene)
Exons: 1
Source: RefSeq, marked provisional